AUGGCCCAGAACCCAGGUCGGCCCAUCCAACCUCUAGGCCACUCCCUCCUAACCCUAGCCCCGACCCCCUCUCGAUCUCUCCCUCGCGUUCCCCACUCCGCCGCCAGCCACUUGUCCCGAUCGGGAUCGUCCUCGAUCCCCCACUUUCCCUCGUCUCCUCCCUUAGGCCGUCACCAUGCACAGAAGAGGGAGCCCGAUCCCCAUGGCCACGCACCCCCCGCGCCCGGUCCCUCUGUCGGCGACCUCCGUCGCCUUGCAGCCUCUGCUUCUCCUCGUUGGCAGGACUCCUGUGCCUCCUUCAUGGCCCUCCUCCUCCGGCCUCCUCGUCGCCCUGCCAUGGACACUGAGCUCGAACCUCUAGCCAACCCUGCCUCCAUGAACUUGCCGAGCAAGUCCCUCUCUUGGAGCCGCUUGCUGCUGCUGCUCUUCAUCGAGGCGCCAAGUUCCGUUGAUCUGCAGCCAUCUCCCUCACGCCCUUCCUCCUCUCCGGCGUUCUGCUCGAGGACCAGCCCCGCGCACCCCUAUGCUCGCGGGCAGGGGACCCCAAGAGCGUCACGCCGUCUCCCUACCUCACCUGCGCUGCCGGUGUCAACAACAGCAGCGGACCGGAGCCCCUGCCUUGCUCCACCACGUCACUGCGCAUCCGGCCAUCGGCGUCCAACUCCUCACCAGCCUGCUGCUACCUCGAGCAGUCCUGCCACGGCCAUCACCUCCCCGAUGCCCUUGCUGCUGCUUCUAGACCACCUCGGUGCCAUCAGGGAGUACCAUGGCCGCCGCCGAUAUCCUUGGAUUCACCAAGAUCGGCAAGUACAACAACUUACGGCACACGGACGACCACCGCACCGAACGCCAAAGUACAGGAUGACCCGCGAAGCCACUGGACGCCAUGUACCACUACAACUAUUGCGUUCCCUUUCGUCUUUGUCAAGUACCCAUGGACGCCAAGUACCACGAUGUCGGUGCCCAUCAAGUUCGGCUACACGAAAAUGCCAAGUACCCGUUCAUGUCGGCAAGACCCGCAAGUCGGACCCCGAAUGA
Molecule: ribosomal RNA, 1038 nt
Filed under: Triticum aestivum (bread wheat)
Lineage: Eukaryota; Viridiplantae; Streptophyta; Magnoliopsida; Poales; Poaceae
Description: partial small subunit ribosomal RNA
Source: RNAcentral